Long non-coding RNA from Micropterus dolomieu (smallmouth bass), 324 nucleotides. RefSeq lists it as uncharacterized. Lineage: Eukaryota; Metazoa; Chordata; Actinopteri; Centrarchiformes; Centrarchidae. The record is from RefSeq and is a predicted model, not a curated record. The transcript has 3 exons.
CAGCAACCAUGCACUCUCCAAAAAGUGUCCAUCCAAAAAUGUCCAGACUAAUGGAGGAUGAAGACAUGGACAUGCAGAGUUAGGGAGCCAGAAAAGGAUAAAGAGUGAGACAGGCUUGAUAAAGAAAACUGGGAGAGGCCAGAUGACUUCAGCAGUGCCUGAGAUUUUGCACGCACCCUCCAUCCUCCUGACUGCCUCCCCACUCACCUUAUCAAUCACGGCAAAGUUACAAGGUGAAGGAACGGCGCAAUGUCAAGAGUUUUAUUAGAAUCUGACAGAGCACAACCAAAAACAGCAACACAGAAAACCAUAAUCACAGCAUCC